GAUGAACGCUGGCGGCGUGCCUAAUACAUGCAAGUCGAACGGGGAGUAGCAAUACUCUUAGUGGCGAACGGGUGAGUAACGCGUUGGUACCUGCCCCGUAGCGGGGGAUAACGGACCGAAAGGUCCGCUAAUACCCCAUGUGCUCGGUAACGAGUAAAGGUGAAAACCACUUUGGGAGGGGCAUGCGUCCCAUCAGCUAGUUGGUAAGGUAACGGCUUACCAAGGCGAUGACGGGUAGGGGACCUGAGAGGGUGGCCCCCCACAAUGGAACUGAAACACGGUCCAUACACCUACGGGUGGCAGCAGUAGGGAAUAUUGGUAAUGGGCGCAAGCCUGAACCAGCAACGCCGCGUGUGCGAUGACGGCCUUCGGGUUGUAAAGCACUUUUGACUGGGACGAGGAAGGACGGUACCGGUCGAAUCAGCCUCGGCUAACUACGUG
This 441-nucleotide ribosomal RNA is filed under the name uncultured bacterium. RNAcentral's name for it is "partial 16S ribosomal RNA". It matches the Rfam family "Bacterial small subunit ribosomal RNA", at positions 28 to 507 of the family's 1533-position model. The record is from RNAcentral.